ACGUCCCAGGCUUAUGAUGCCGUUUUACACUUUGUUAAAGUAAAUUUACUGGCCGAGUUUAGGCCUAGUGUAAUUUUAACAGACUUUGAAGCUGCGUUAAGGGAAAUGUUGAUAAGGCAUUUUCCAUCAGCCACAGCUCAUGGAUGCUGGUUUAGCACAGUAAUCAAGCUGUGUGGUGAAAAAUGCGAAUAUUAGGUUAUUUAAAUCUUAUAAAUACCAAUGGAUUUGCAUCAAAAACUUUAAAGAUGAUUAUGGUUCUUCCAUUAUUACCAGCUGGGAAAAUUGAAGAAGGCUUUGUUGUGAUUAAGCGUUAUGCACCUAGACAUAAUAUUAACAUGCGAUGACUAUUCAACUAUUAUGAAAGAUACUGGAUACGAAAUGUAGGCGUUGAGUUACUUUCGGUCUACAAAAAAAAAUUUAGAACAAACAACAAUAUUGAAGGGUUUCACAGUAAACUAAGGCAAAUAUUUCAAGUUUCCCACCCAAAUAUUUGGUCAUUCUUAGCUCAUAUAUGCAAAAUAAAUGAUACAUAUUCAGUUAAGCCGUUUGACGAAAAUGAAGACUAUGUUAUUCCUGAAGACAAUGAUCCUCUGGAAUUGGAAUACAGAGAUAUGAUAUAGCAAGAAAGAAUUGAGCAACUUAAUAAUUUACCAUUUGCACCUGUUCCAGCCAUACUACCAAUAUUAUAUCUGAACUCACCAAAUGUAUGUGCUAUAUGCAAAUCAAAUAGAAGUACAUACGCACUAGUUCCAUGUGGUCAUCGAGCCCUAUGUGAGGAAUGUCAAUGGUUAUUGGAGCAACAACGCUGUCCUAUAUGCACACAACCAUUUGAUACCACAUUAAGAAUUUGGGAUGCAUAAAUUUAAUUUAAAAAUCUGAAACUAUAAAUACAAUUAUUACACCCAUUUAAGUAUUAUAAAAUAUAUAUUGCCAGUUAUAAUAAAUUACUAUGUUAUAAGUGAUUUUUUAUACUUGCUCUAUGUUUAUAUAAAUAGUGUAAUAAAAUUAGUCAUAUUAUUUUGUUGGUUUGUACAAAAUUCGUAGGUAGAUACACAGUCCAUAUACAUGAUGUAUACCCUUUUUUUUUCUUAGGUUUUAACCAACGAUGCCGCGGAAAUUGCUUUCGCAUUAUUGCCGCGGCGCUAAUAUAUAAUUUAUACCUAUUAUAUACA
Long non-coding RNA from Acyrthosiphon pisum (pea aphid), 1172 nucleotides. RefSeq lists it as uncharacterized. The transcript has 5 exons. Lineage: Eukaryota; Metazoa; Arthropoda; Insecta; Hemiptera; Aphididae. The record is from RefSeq and is a predicted model, not a curated record.